RNAcentral lists this ribosomal RNA (277 nucleotides) under uncultured prokaryote. RNAcentral's name for it is "partial 16S ribosomal RNA". It matches the Rfam family "Bacterial small subunit ribosomal RNA", at positions 524 to 800 of the family's 1533-position model. The record is from RNAcentral.
UACGGAGGAUCCGAGCGUUAUCCGGAUUUAUUGGGUUUAAAGGGUGCGCAGGCGGGGGAUUAAGUCGGCGGUGAAAUUUUGCAGCUCAACUGUAAAAGUGCCUUCGAAACUGGUUUCCUUGAGUGUAGAUGAAGUAGGCGGAAUUUGUGGUGUAGCGGUGAAAUGCAUAGAUAUCACGAGGAACCCCGAUUGCGCAGGCAGCUUACUAAACUACUACUGACGCUCAGGCACGAAGGCGCGGGGAUCAAACAGGAUUAGAUACCCCCGUAGUCCCUGA